GAUGAACGCUGGCGGCGUGCCUAAUACAUGCCUUUCGAACGGAGCACCUUGGUGCUCAGUGGCGAACGGGUGAGGAGAACAUAGGUAACCUGCCCCUCCGAGGGGGUCAACAGCUGGAAACGGCUGCUAAGACCGCAUAGACGCAUUCAGGGCAUCCUGGAUGCGCUAAAUGACCGGAUGGUCAGCGGGGGGAUGGACCUAUGCAGUAUUAGCUGGUUGGCGGGGCAACGGCCCACCAAGGCGACGAUACUUAGCCGGCCUGAGAGGGCGGACGGCCACACUGGGACUGAGACACGGCCCAGACUCCUACGGGAGGCAGCAGUAGGGAAUUUUCGGCAAUGGGGGAAACCCUGACCGAGCAACGCCGCGUGAACGAAGAAGGCCUUCGGGUCGUAAAGUUCUGUUGUACGGGAAGAACGUCGGAUGGAGGAAAUGCCAUGCGAGUGACGGUACCGAACAUAGAAAGCCACGGCUAACUACGUGCCAGCAGCCGCGGUAAUACGUAGGUGGCGAGCGUUAUCCGGAAUCAUUGGGCGUAGAGAGGGAGCAGGCGGUGAUACAGGUCUGGAGGUGAAAGCCCGAAGCUAAACUUCGGGAAGCCCCGGAAACCGGAUCACUGGAGUGCGGAAGAGGAUCGUGGAAUUCCAUGUGUAGCGGUGAAAUGCGUAGAUAUAUGGAGGAACACCAGUGGCGAAGGCGACGGUCUGGUCCGCAACUGACGCUCAGUCCCGAAAGCGUGGGGAGCAAAUAGGAUUAGAUACCCUAGUAGUCCACGCCGUAAACGAUCGAUACUAAGUGUCGGGAGUCAGAUCCCGGUGCCGAAACUAACGCGCUAAGCAUUCCGCCUGUGGAGUAUGCACGCAAGUGUGAAACAUAAAGGAAUUGACGGGGGCCCGCACAAGCGGUGGAGUAUGUGGUUUAAUUCGACGCAACGCGAAGAACCUUACCAGGCCUUGACAUCCCUUGCAAAGCUGUAGAGAUACAGUAGAGGUUAUCAAGGUGACAGGUGGUGCAUGGUUGUCGUCAGCUCGUGUCGUGAGAUGUUGGGUUAAGUCCCGCAACGAGCGCAACCCUUGUCUUCAGUUACCAAUAUCAAGUUAGGGACUCUGGAGAGACUGCUGGUGAUAAACCGGAGGAAGGUGGGGAUGACGUCAAAUCAUCAUGCCCCUUAUGGCCUGGGCUACACACGUACUACAAUGGCUGUUACAACGUGAAGCAACACUGUGAAGUGAAGCGGAACACUGAAAGACAGUCUCAGUUCGGAUUGAAGUCUGCAACCCGACUUCAUGAAGCUGGAAUAGCUAGUAAUCGCGGAUCAGCAUGCCGCGGUGAAU
This 1334-nucleotide ribosomal RNA is filed under the name uncultured bacterium. RNAcentral's name for it is "bacterial SSU rRNA". It matches the Rfam family "Bacterial small subunit ribosomal RNA", at positions 28 to 1367 of the family's 1533-position model. The record is from RNAcentral.